AUAAAAUUUAAUAAAUCAAGAAUAUGAAAUUAAUUUGAAUUCUGUUCUGUCUCGUGAAAGAUGGGAAAGUUUAUAAAAAAAAAAAAAACCUAGAACAUCCACUGUUCAAUAACUCGUUCCUCGGAAGUGGAAAAAUUUUGCAAGAAGUGUUCCCAACGAAUAAACGUGGAAUUGGUUGUACGGGAUCACGAUUUCAUCGCGACAGGUUGGGACGUGAAAAAUGGGAGAGACAAAAAGAAAACGAGAAGGGAAAAAAGAAGAAAAAACGAGGCGCGAAAUAGAAGGAGAUUUCACAAAACGUUCGAACCUGUAUUCAGGACUCGUGUAUGAAAGUGCUCUCUUUCAUGCAUUCCAGCUGACCUCCAGUGGCAUUAUUAACGUUAAAAAUGGACUGCGAAUACAACGAUUUUAAACUCGUAUCGCGACAGAGUAAAGAAAAAUCACUUUGAUCUGGAAAGUCGCAUUUCCCCCUUUGUGUGUCGUUUUCGCUUAAAAUAUGCUCAUCAUUGAUAAAAAAAUAUAAUGGCUCGUUUAAAAAAAUAUAGAAGUGAUCUUGGAAUUUCUUUUACAUCCCCAUACUAAGCUGUCUCCAUCGUAUAAUACUUUUCUCAGUACUUUUGAAGGGAACAUUCUUUAUAUCAUUCGAGUUGCUGUCCUAAAUUUUCUGAGAUUGCAUGCAGAAGAAGAAAAGACACAUGAAGUUGGCAGAUUAGGAAGAAGCAUAUUAUUGUUCCCAAAAUAUUGCAACCGCUUGACGAAGGAUUCACGAAAGCGCGUAUACAGGAGAUCUCAUUAAAGCGCACAGCUUGACCCCGUAUUAUUAAUUGCACCACAGUAAAGGACCCGACGAAAGAGAAUCAUAGAAAAAGAAAGACCCGUCGAAAGUGAAAAUGGCUCACUUGUGCACGUCCUCUCGUCGAGUAUGAACGCGAAUUAAGGACUGAAUUGUCUUCUACGAUUUCGAACACUCUUUUAAGAUAACGAUACACGGUAAAUUUGUGUCGAAAAUGCAAAUCUUAUUGAAAGA
Long non-coding RNA from Apis laboriosa (Himalayan honeybee), 1027 nucleotides. RefSeq lists it as uncharacterized. The record is from RefSeq and is a predicted model, not a curated record. The transcript is spliced from 4 exons. Lineage: Eukaryota; Metazoa; Arthropoda; Insecta; Hymenoptera; Apidae.